RNAcentral lists this ribosomal RNA (450 nucleotides) under Triticum aestivum (bread wheat). RNAcentral describes it as "partial small subunit ribosomal RNA". The record is from RNAcentral. Lineage: Eukaryota; Viridiplantae; Streptophyta; Magnoliopsida; Poales; Poaceae.
AUGAGUUGUCAUGAUGACAUCAACAUCCCCGAUGGCAAGUUCUACCUAGGAGAUGCUGGGUAUGCAUGUCGGCCAGGUAUUCUUCCACCCUUCAGGAAAAUCAGGUACCAUCUGAACGAGUUCACUGGUAGGAACUAUCCUAGGACUCCACAAGAGCUGUUCAAUCUCAGACACCCCAGCUUUAGAGUUACCGUUGAGAGGGCAUUUGGAGCUCUGAAGAACAGGUUUAAGAUCCUAGAUCAUAAGCCAUUCCACACUUUCCCCACUCAGGUUAAGCUUGUUCUUACUCGUUGCAUUCUGCAUAGCUGGAUCUUGCAAUAGGGUGCUGAUGAACUGGUGCAGGAGGAGGAAGAUGUGACGGAGGAUGAUGUUGUCAGCUCCGGCCAUGGUGUGGAGGCAUUUGACAACUAAGCCUGUAAGAACAAAAGAAUGAAGUGCGCACAUGUGUGA